RNAcentral lists this ribosomal RNA (413 nucleotides) under uncultured bacterium. Its description in RNAcentral is "bacterial SSU rRNA". It matches the Rfam family "Bacterial small subunit ribosomal RNA", at positions 28 to 425 of the family's 1533-position model. The record is from RNAcentral.
AAUGAACGCUGGCGGCGUGGAUUAGGCAUGCAAGUCCAGGGGGAAAUUCCCUUCGGGGGAUGAGUACACCGGCGAACUGGUUAGUAACAGGUGGGGAACGUGCCCCGAGGCCGGGGAUAACCGUCUGGAAACAGCGGCUAAGACCCGAUUCGGCCCGGCAGUCUUCGGAUAGCCGGCGCCAAAAGGCGCUCCUUCGGGAGUGCCGCCGCGGGAUCGCCCCGCCCCGAUUAGCUAGAUGGCGAGGUAACGGCUCACCAUGGCUGCGAUCGGUAGCUGGUCUGAGAGGAUGGUCAGCAACACUGGGACUGAGAUACGGCCCAGACUCCUACGGGAGGCAGCAGUCUAGAAGCUUCCGCAAUGGGCGAAAAGCCUGAGGAGCGACGCCGCGUGCGCGAAGAAAGGCCUUCGGUGUU